This 396-nucleotide ribosomal RNA is filed under the name uncultured bacterium. RNAcentral describes it as "bacterial SSU rRNA". It matches the Rfam family "Bacterial small subunit ribosomal RNA", at positions 28 to 417 of the family's 1533-position model. The record is from RNAcentral.
GACGAACGCUGGCGGCGCGCUUAACACAUGCAAGUCGAGCGAGACCAGCCCUUCGGGGCUGGGGACAGCGGCGAACGGGUGAGUAACACGUGGGUAAUCUGCCCUCGGCACCGGAAUAGCCCGGGGAAACCCGGAUUAAUGCCGGAUGGCCUCUCGAGCUCUCGGGCUCGUGAGAAAAGGUAGCUUUGGCCUCCGGCCGAGGAUGAGCCCGCGGUCGAUUAGCUUGUUGGUGAGGUAAUGGCUCACCAAGGCGACGAUCGAUAGCUGGUCUGAGAGGACGAUCAGCCACACUGGGACUGAGACACGGCCCAGACUCCUACGGGAGGCAGCAGUGGGGAAUCUUGCGCAAUGGGCGAAAGACCUGACGCAGCGACGCCGUGUGCGGGAAGAAGGCCU